RNAcentral lists this ribosomal RNA (497 nucleotides) under uncultured bacterium. RNAcentral's name for it is "partial 16S ribosomal RNA". It matches the Rfam family "Bacterial small subunit ribosomal RNA", at positions 28 to 507 of the family's 1533-position model. The record is from RNAcentral.
GAUGAACGCUGGCGGCGUGCCUAAUACAUGCAAGUAGAACGCUGAAGGAAGGAGCUUGCUCUUUCCGGAUGAGUUGCGAACGGGUGAGUAACGCGUAGGUAACCUGCCUGGUAGCGGGGGAUAACUAAUGGAAACGAUAGCUAAUACCGCAUAACAGUAGAUGUUGCAUGAUAUCUACUUAAAAGGUGCAAUUGCACCACUACCAGAUGGACCAGCGUUGUAUUAGCUAGUUGGUGAGGUAACGGCUCACCAAGGCGACGAUACAUAGCCGACCUGAGAGGGUGAUCGGCCACACUGGGACUGAGACACGGCCCAGACUCCUACGGGAGGCAGCAGUAGGGAAUCUUCGGCAAUGGACGGAAGUCUGACCGAGCAACGCCGCGUGAGUGAAGAAGGUUUUCGGAUCGUAAAGCUCUGUUGUAAGAGAAGAACGAGUGUGAGAGUGGAAAGUUCACACUGUGACGGUAUCUUACCAGAAAGGGACGGCUAACUACGUG